Molecule: long non-coding RNA, 1825 nt
Filed under: Xyrichtys novacula (pearly razorfish)
Lineage: Eukaryota; Metazoa; Chordata; Actinopteri; Labriformes; Labridae
Source: RNAcentral
AGGGAGUCUGAGAAGAGGAAAGGGAGCUGAGGUGGGAGGAGGACGCCAUUGCAGCCGCAGCUGGCUGUAUGUGUUCGGGCUGAGGGGGGACAAACGUUACCGAGCGUUACAACUGGGAGAAACAUUGUGGACUUUUUCAGGGCCGAGACAACUAUCGCUGUGUUUUAAUGUGGAAACAAACGCCAAGGAUGGGCGGUUUGCUUCGUGAACGGAGAAAAUGUGGAGUCAGAGCAGCGCAGCGAAGCAGGUAAAGUGGGUUAGUGUAGUUUGGUGUGUUUACGGGGACAAUGGGAGAAAGUUUCGGCUAACCUCAGCUAACUAACGGGAGUUGUUUCAGCUAGCGUUACUGCUAGUUGUGGUACUCACAGUGAAGAUUUUUUAUCAAAGUUUAUCGCUGUAAAGGGCUUUAAAGAAUUCUUACAUACAUCAUUCAUUUGCUCAUACAGUCACACCUUGGUGGUGGUAAACUGCCUUAGUAGUCACAGCUGACCUACCUGUGGCAGACUGACGGAAACAUGGCUGCCAGUUUGCGCCUCUGUGACUCUCACCCACCCAAAAACUCAAGGCAGAUUGUUCAGCAUUAUAGUAUAUUAGGGAAGCGUUAUUAUCUAGCCAAUAGAAGUAGGAAAUAAUAUCCAUGGCAAAUGCUCAUUUUAAAGGAUUGUCAGCCUUUGGCACCGGGAGAUAGCAUCAUGAAAUGACUUUAAUCUCGUUUUAGCCUUGAUUAAGGGAUUUAAUGGGAUAAUUAAGAAACAAGAGUAGGUGAAAUAAAACAAUGAAAAUUUGCAGCCCUAGUAUAAUGAAGAUUACCUUUCACUGAGGCAGGUUUUCUUGCAGCAGGCUUCAAUCCUAGCCCAAGUUGGCCCCAAGUGUUAUCACCAAACACUAGCAGCCUGCCAUUUUCUGCAGACAUUGAAAACUAAUAGAGGUCAAAGUGUGAUUAAACAUUAGAGAAGUUCUUGGACAUGGGUUCAAAAUGAGUGAUUCUUUAUUAUGUCAAUGUGCAUAUAUACUGUCUGAACCUGGGAUGACAGCAGUGUGCUCUCCUCCGCAGGAUACUUGUCCUGGCUGGUCAUUUCUCACCCAGAAUUUACAAGGCACAUUAUCAGCGAAACCGCUCUUUCCAAAUGUGAAGAUGGCCCCUGUUACUCUUAACAAAUACAUUUCUCAAUUUUAGCAGGAGUAGCAGGACUUCAGAGUCGCACUAACUUAUCAACUUCUCUGAUUUAACACCGGCUAAAUCCUGACCCAACCUGCUGUCAAAUCUCAAGCGAGUUAAGUAGCUGCUUGACAGAAAUAGCUACAGGUGCUCCAAACAACCUCACACAGUCUGUGGAAAAAGGUUUAUCUAAUAGGAAGGUAAGUAUGCCCACUAUACAAAUGAGUGGACUACAGUACUUCAUGUCCUGUUUUGAAAGUACUCUCACCUGGUAUGUCCUCAUCUCUCUGUCCUGUCAUCUCCAACGCAGCUCCCCUCUCUCCUCCUCCUCUCGCUCCCCGUAGAGCUCAGCGCUGACUGACAGGUGGAUAAAGGAAACGUCAGAGGGAGGCGUGGCCAGGACAAACAACUGUUUUUUUCUCAUAGACUGUAUAUAAAAUAUAUAAUAUAAACAGUCUAUGGGUUUUCUCAUGUUAGCAAAAGUGACCGUUCUCAUCAAAAUACUCCGUAUCAUGAACCAAACUUUAUACAUGCAAAGUAAGAUAAAAGUAAAAUCGUCUUUUUCUUAUCAUGCCAAAAAUAAAUAAAUGAAUAAAAUAAAAUAAUAAUAAUAAUAUUAAAAUUAAAUUAAAAAUAAAUGUAAUAAUGAUAAUAUGAUUAUAUUAG